UUUUCUGAUGUGGAUUAAGGCUGCCCCAGCUAGAGAAGCCCAAGGUGACCUGGCCUACGUGCCAAACUAUACGACCCAGUGGACUUUUUUUAUGGUAUGAAUUAGGACUGCCCCAGGGAGAGAAGCCCGGGGCAUCCUCACCUGCAUGCCGAUCUAUAUGGCCAGAUUCGUAUCUAAAGUUAUAUGACCGCACAAUAACCAGACCCCAUCUGCACUGAAAUCAUUUAAUGACUUUUUACAUCAUCUUUUCUUUUUUUUCCAGUAAAAAUAAGUCACGUACCCAUGCCUUAUUAGCCCUAACCCUCAACUCAGGGCAGCAGCAGGAGCUCUGACUGCCCGUGGGUCCUGUCCCCACGCACCAGCUCUGCCUGCCCAUGGGUCCUGUCCCCAUGCCAGCGGGGGCAGCAGCAGCGGCAGCAGCAGGAGCUCUGACUGCCCGUGGGUCCUGUCCCCACGCACCAGCUCUGCCUGCCCAUGGGUCCUGUCCCCAUGCCAGCGGGGGCAGCAGCAGCGGCAGCAGCAGGAGCUCUGACUGCCCGUGGGUCCUGUCCCCACGCACCAGCUCUGCCUGCCCAUGGGUCCUGUCCCCAUGCCAGCGGGGGCAGCAGCAGUGGCAGCAGCAGAAGCUCUGCCUGCCCAUGGGUCCUGUCCCCAUGCUAUUCCACACUAUUCUCUAAAUAAAAGAGCACUACUGCCAGAUCUUGAGAGUCUAAGAAAUCUUUCUUUCGACUCCUCGGCUCACCGAUCCCGCAUCAUUUCUGGUGGCCCGUACGGGGACUUGCUUCAUCGGCUUGUGAGCUCGAGUUCUGGAACUACUAUCUAGCCCAUCACUAAUUCCUAAGACUGAAAAAAAAAAAAAAAAGAAAGAAAGAAAGAGGAGGGGAGAGGCAAAACGGCCAUAAGCGUGCCCUUGCAAAAAAUCUAGCAUCUUGAGUAUCUUCUCCACAAAUAUUGGCUCAGAUAUGACAACACAGCUUUUCAGGAACAAAGAUUGGACAUUCUGGAAUACAGCCACUUGGAAACAUGGGCCUGGUACCUUGUUUACAGAGAUUCUGGCAAUCUUACCCGGUAAGUAAGGAAGCUUGCUUAUCUGGCAGGUGCAAGGAACCUCAGAAUAUUUUGGGGGACCUCGAGAAGAGAGGAGUCCACCCAAACCUGUAGGUACUGCAGGCAAAAUCUGAUGGCAAGUCCUUGGCUUGGCUUUUCUGGCCUCGAGAGGCCUUUACAGUUCAAUCUGAGAUUCUUCAUAAAAAUUCCAGCAAAGCAGAUUUAAAAAGCCUGUAUAAUCAAUUGGUAUUCUUGCUGCACUUAUGUAAAUAAUUGGCAGACCAGUUAAUCUUAAUUUGGCUAUCUUUUAUAAAAAUGAGGGUGAUUUUAGGGAGAAAAAAAUUAUGUUUCAGUAGAAGGUAU
RNAcentral lists this long non-coding RNA (1410 nucleotides) under Equus caballus (horse). Its description in RNAcentral is "lncRNA (ENSECAG00000048408.1)". The record is from RNAcentral. Lineage: Eukaryota; Metazoa; Chordata; Mammalia; Perissodactyla; Equidae.